This is a long non-coding RNA of Corvus hawaiiensis (hawaiian crow), 2879 nucleotides long. RefSeq lists it as uncharacterized. The record is from RefSeq and is a predicted model, not a curated record. The transcript is spliced from 3 exons. NCBI's taxonomy places the organism in Eukaryota, Metazoa, Chordata, Aves, Passeriformes, Corvidae.
AACAAAUUGACAAGAAGUUUGUGGUGAAAGUUAUGACACUUUAAAGGACAUAUAAUCUGCUGUGCUUUUCAAAAUCCCCAAAUAGUUCUACCUUCUAGUUAUCAAUGUUGCUGUUUGUCUUGGAACUUCAGUUUUCCAUGAAAGAAGCCUGGUUUAGUCAAGAUAAGUGACCAAAACCAUACUGGAUUGCCAGCAUUCUUGAGGUAAGGGGGACUUAUGGUCUCCUUGCUAACUCUUCAGGAAAAACAGAGGAGCAACUGGGAAACCUGUCUUCCAAGGAAAAGAUGAAAGCUAUAGCUAAGUGAGGAGAUGUGUCCUUCUCAACACUGACAGUGUGGUCAAAGAGACAGCUCCCCCUGACUUUUCCCUGAAGAGUUCACAGACAACUGUCCAGAAGAGCGCCCGGUCUCCCCGGCGUUUCUGUUAACAGCAGGAUUCACUGCAGCACUCUGGACUGCUGCUGCCGUGUCAUUCCAGUGCCUCUGGGGUCAGCUGAGUGCAUUAAAUUAACACUGUUCCCAGGCAAAGCAAAAUGUCUGGCAACAGGAUGGUGCAGCAUAAUAAUGGGAUAGGAGGGGUAGAUGCACACGAAAAUAUGAAAUGAUUGGAAGGAGUGGGGAGCGAUGAUGUGGUUCUGACCGACGUGACUUAGUGCCAAAUGUGCAUUAUCACACAGAUCUCCCAGCAGAUUAUAUGUCUCUUCACCACCACUUAACAUUUUUAUAGCUUAUUUCAGUAUUUUUGCAUUUGUUCCACCUGUUAUAAUUUAUUUAUGAGUUUAAGAUUAUUAAAAAUUUGAAGCUUCAUUACAAACUAUCCUGGGGGAAUCUCACCUGCCUCAUGCUAUUACAUUAUUAUUACCAAGUGUCUAAUUUAUAUUUAGCCAAACAUCAAUUGAACAUCAAUAAAAUAAUAAUGAAUGAAUAAGCUAUAGCUUCCUAGAAAUACUAGUAGCUUAAGUGUGUAAGCAAAGGCAGUUCCCUGUCUGUGGGUCAGCUAUCAAAUCUCUCUGAGACUAUUUGACAGAACCAUUUAGUAUUUAGAAUAUGAUAAUAAGCCAUAAAAAUAGUUAAUUGCUAUGUUCUUCAGCUAAUUCUUGUGAUAACUAUGACCCAUACCAACCUGUGAACCUGAGCUGAGAAGCAACCCAGAGUUCCAUGUAAGACAGUCAUUUCCAAACACUGUAAGUACCUAAGGGACUCCAUGUUUCCACAAAAUGAAAUGACAAAAGAAUUUCGGCUUGGGUAAAUGCUUAAUUUUUCGCUUGAACACGACCUCUUAGACUGAAAUUAUUUAUUUUUCUACCCAGGCAAAUCAAAAUAAAUCUUUUUUUUUUUUUUUUAAUUAACUUAAACAUCUGCCUAUGAACAUUGAAAUAGCAUAGUUCAACAUUGCUGGUUGGGUGUUCUGUUUUAACAAAAUAUCGACCCAAAAAACAGGCUUUGGCAAAUACUUCUCUGCAGACAGAAGUGGCAUUAUUUCAGCCGGGGGAAUUUCAGUAAAGACCCUAGUCCUAUUCCACCCUAUGGCUCCACAGUGAUUGUCAUCUCUAAUUAGUGAUGAAGAUCACUAAUUGGGGACUACUUCCAUGUACACUUCCUAGGUUUAUAUGUUUUCCCCUUCCUCUGCUAAGCCUCAAGAGCCGAAGUUUUCAUUCUGGAUCUUUUGAUCUCUUCUUCAAUUUCCUACUGUGUACUCUCCUUUAUGGUUCAAAUUUUAUCAGGGAUUGAAGAAGCGCCCUAGAUGCAAAAGAUAACCGUGUUGUCAGUAUUCUUCUCUGUCCCAGUCCACGAAGAAUCACUUAACCCUGUUCUUCAAAAUGAUCCCACUGAAGUCAGUGGAACUGUCUCAGCCCCUCACUUCAGCACUAUCUACAUGAGGGCUCUAAAUACCCAUCUGUGGAACUGAAGCCAAAAGACAGUAUUAUCCUUCUAUGACAGUCUGAUAUUUUUUAAUAUUCACUGACUCUCCUUUCCUUUUCAUCUACAACACAUUUGUCUUUUUUAACUGCUUGGGUCCACUCUAGCUAUCUGUAUUAUGCAAGCAAAGAUUAUAAGGCCAAAUGUCCUCAGGCAUGCAGCAUGGGCUCAUUCAAAAUUACAAUCCCAUUUGAAACCUCAAUGCCACUUGGGAUCUUGAGAAGUCCACCAAGAAUUGCUGUUCAAGUCUAACAUAAAGAGGUUCCAGUUCAACAUUUAAAGUUCUAUUAAGAUCUAAAGGGGCCAUCAGACAUUCUGAUCUGAUCUCUUAGCUGAGAUUUUUUUACUCAGUUACUUCUACAUCAAUCCCCACAACUCCUGUUUGAGUAAAACACAUCCUAUUGAAAUACUUCCAGUGUUAAAAGGAAAAUCCAUCAUCUCGGUGGUUUACACUAGCAUUUAUUAUCCCACCCAUUUAUUACCACACUUCUUCUCAAAUUGAACUUGUCAGGCUGUCACUCCCACUCACUGACUUGUCCUUCCCUCCAUGCAAGGCUUUGUCAGCCCAUGUUUUGGUCUCAGGGGUGCUGGUACAACACAACCUGAAUGAGCUGGACUCAAAGGUAUGGGCAGUUCCACCACUCAAAAACGUGCAAGCCAUUGCAUGCUUAUGUUCCAUCCUUGGCAAGUCCUUUUAUCAUGAAGAAUUCAUCAAAGUUCAGAAUCAAGGAUAUCUUCUCUGUUCUUCCUGGGCAGACCCAAAUACACUCCUUUUUGGGUACUCUUAUAGGGAGUACUUUUUGAGUACUCUCAUAGGGAAUUGAUGACUAGUGUAACAAAAGAGCACCUUCCCACACCUCUGAGGGAUGGUUCUAAUUUUUGAGCAACCCACUUACUGGAUUUCACAUUUUAUGCCAUAUAACCACAGGCAAAUUUUGAAAAAAAAAAUGCCACUCACCU